CAGAGAAUAGUUUAAUAAAAAUAUUAGUUUUGGGGAUUAAUGAUGGGAGGUGAUCUCUUUUCUCUGA
RNAcentral lists this transfer RNA (67 nucleotides) under Arcynopteryx dichroa. Its description in RNAcentral is "tRNA-Pro". The record is from RNAcentral. Lineage: Eukaryota; Metazoa; Arthropoda; Insecta; Plecoptera; Perlodidae.